UUAAACUCAAAUGAAUUGACGGGGCCCGCACAAGCGGUGGAGCAUGUGGUUUAAUUCGAUGCAACGCGAAGAACCUUACCUACUCUUGACAUCCAGAGAAUUUAGCAGAGAUGCUUUAGUGCCUUCGGGAACUCUGAGACAGGUGCUGCAUGGCUGUCGUCAGCUCGUGUUGUGAAAUGUUGGGUUAAGUCCCGCAACGAGCGCAACCCUUAUCCUUUGUUGCCAGCACGUUAUGGUGGGAACUCAAAGGAGACUGCCGGUGAUAAACCGGAGGAAGGUGGGGAUGACGUCAAGUCAUCAUGGCCCUUACGAGUAGGGCUACACACGUGCUACAAUGGCGUAUACAAAGAGAAGCGACCUCGCGAGAGCAAGCGGAACUCAUAAAGUACGUCGUAGUCCGGAUUGGAGUCUGCAACUCGACUCCAUGAAGUCGGAAUCGCUAGUAAUCGUAGAUCAGAAUGCUACGGUGAAUACGUUCCCGGGCCUUGUACACACCGCCCGUCACACCAUGGGAGUGGGUUGCAAAAGAAGUAGGUAGCUUAACCUUCGGGAGGGCGCUUACCACUUUGUGAUUCAUGACUGGGGUGAAGUCGUAACAAGGUAACCA
Molecule: ribosomal RNA, 607 nt
Filed under: uncultured Providencia sp.
Lineage: Bacteria; Pseudomonadati; Pseudomonadota; Gammaproteobacteria; Enterobacterales; Morganellaceae
Description: bacterial SSU rRNA
Rfam family: Bacterial small subunit ribosomal RNA
Source: RNAcentral